AGUUAGGUAACAUUCAAAUUGACGUUUAUGUUUUCCAAAAUGAAUCCAAGACAUUAUUCACCUCUUUUCUUGUAUUUCUUAUCAACACUUGUCAGUUACAAAAGUUAUGCUGUCCUGAUAAAGGGGCAAAAUGGUUUGAUGAUACUAUUUGGUUUUUAAACUUCAAAUAUAUGGUGGAACAUGAGUUGAUUGUCAGGCUUUGUUUUGCAUUCCUUCUCGACACUUGUUUU
Molecule: unclassified non-coding RNA, 230 nt
Filed under: Hevea brasiliensis (rubber tree)
Lineage: Eukaryota; Viridiplantae; Streptophyta; Magnoliopsida; Malpighiales; Euphorbiaceae
Source: RNAcentral